CCUGGCUCAGGACGAACGCUGGCGGCGUGCCUAAUACAUGCAAGUCGAACGAACCGCGACUAAGUGCUUGCACUAAGUCAAGGUGAGUGGCGAACGGGUGAGUAACACGUGGGUAACCUACCUCAUAGUGGGGGGUAACAGUCGGAAACGACUGCUAAUACCGCAUAGGACAUAGGAUCACAUGAUCCAGUGAGGAAAGGUGGCGCAAGCUAUCGCUAAGAGAUGGACCCGCGGUGCAUUAGCUAGUUGGUAGGGUAAAGGCCUACCAAGGCGAUGAUGCAUAGACGACCUGAGAGGGUGAUCGGCCACAUUGGGACUGAGACACGGCGCAAACUCCUACGG
RNAcentral lists this ribosomal RNA (342 nucleotides) under uncultured bacterium. RNAcentral's name for it is "bacterial SSU rRNA". It matches the Rfam family "Bacterial small subunit ribosomal RNA", at positions 18 to 344 of the family's 1533-position model. The record is from RNAcentral.